GUAGGUGGCAAGCGUUGUCCGGAAUUAUUGGGCGUAAAGCGCGCGCAGGCGGUCCUUUAAGUCUGAUGUGAAAGCCCACGGCUCAACCGUGGAGGGUCAUUGGAAACUGGGGGACUUGAGUACAGAAGAGGAAAGCGGAAUUCCAAGUGUAGCGGCGAAAUGCGUAGAGAUUUGGAGGAACACCAGUGGCGAAGGCGGCUUUCUGGUCUGUAACUGACGCUGAGGCGCGAAAGCGUGGGGAGCAAACAGGGAUUAGAUACCCUGGUAGUCCACGCCGUAAACGAUGAGUGCUAAGUGUUAGGGGGUUUCCCGCCCCUUAGUGCUGCAGCUAACGCAUUAAGCACUCCGCCUGGGGAGUACGGCCGCAAGGCUG
This 373-nucleotide ribosomal RNA is filed under the name uncultured organism. RNAcentral describes it as "partial 16S ribosomal RNA". It matches the Rfam family "Bacterial small subunit ribosomal RNA", at positions 527 to 896 of the family's 1533-position model. The record is from RNAcentral.